UACACUCCUACGGGAGGCAGCAGUGGGGAAUAUUGGACAAUGGGCGCAAGCCUGAUCCAGCCAUGCCGCGUGAGUGAUGAAGGCCCUAGGGUUGUAAAGCUCUUUCACCGGUGAAGAUAAUGACGGUAACCGGAGAAGAAGCCCCGGCUAACUUCGUGCCAGCAGCCGCGGUAAUACGAAGGGGGCUAGCGUUGUUCGGAUUUACUGGGCGUAAAGCGCACGUAGGCGGACUAUUAAGUCAGGGGUGAAAUCCCGGGGCUCAACCCCGGAACUGCCUUUGAUACUGGUAGUCUUGAGUUCGAGAGAGGUGAGUGGAAUUCCGAGUGUAGAGGUGAAAUUCGUAGAUAUUCGGAGGAACACCAGUGGCGAAGGCGGCUCACUGGCUCGAUACUGACGCUGAGGUGCGAAAGCGUGGGGAGCAAACAGGAUUAGAAACCCCAGUAGUCCCAUG
Molecule: ribosomal RNA, 451 nt
Filed under: uncultured organism
Description: partial 16S ribosomal RNA
Rfam family: Bacterial small subunit ribosomal RNA
Source: RNAcentral